RNAcentral lists this ribosomal RNA (253 nucleotides) under uncultured bacterium. RNAcentral describes it as "partial 16S ribosomal RNA". It matches the Rfam family "Bacterial small subunit ribosomal RNA", at positions 524 to 776 of the family's 1533-position model. The record is from RNAcentral.
UACGUAGGGUGCGAGCGUUGUCCGGAAUUAUUGGGCGUAAAGGGCUCGUAGGCGGUUUGUCGCGUCGGGAGUGAAAACUCAGGGCUUAACCCUGAGCCUGCUUCCGAUACGGGCAGACUAGAGGUAUGCAGGGGAGAACGGAAUUCCUGGUGUAGCGGUGAAAUGCGCAGAUAUCAGGAGGAACACCGAUGGCGAAGGCAGUUCUCUGGGCCGUAACUGACGCUGAGGAGCGAAAGCGUGGGGAGCGAACAGG